RNAcentral lists this ribosomal RNA (498 nucleotides) under uncultured Glomeromycotina. RNAcentral describes it as "partial small subunit ribosomal RNA". It matches the Rfam family "Eukaryotic small subunit ribosomal RNA", at positions 591 to 1092 of the family's 1831-position model. The record is from RNAcentral. Lineage: Eukaryota; Fungi; Glomeromycota.
CCAAUAGCGUAUAUUAAAGUUGUUGCAGUUAAAAAGCUCGUAGUUGAAUUUCGGGAUCAGUACGCCGGUCGUGCCUUCGGUAUGUACUGGUGUUACUGGUUCCUACCUUCUGACGAACCGUCAUGUCAUUAAUUUGGUGUGGCGGGGAAUCAGGACUGUUACUUUGAAAAAAUUAGAGUGUUUAAAGCAGGCUCGCGCUUGAAUACAUUAGCAUGGAAUAAUGAAAUAGGACGUUCGAUCCUAUUUUGUUGGUUUCUAGGAUUGACGUAAUGAUUAAUAAGGAUAGUUGGGGGCAAUAGUAUUCAAUUGUCAGAGGUGAAAUUCUUGGAUUUAUUGAAGACUAACUACUGCGAAAGCAUUUGCCAAGGAUGCUUUCAUUAAUCAAGAACGAAAGUUAGGGGAUCGAAGACGAUCAGAUACCGUCGUAGUCUUAACCAUAAACUAUGCCGACUAGGGAUCGGAUGAUGUUAUUUUUAAUGACUCAUUCGGCGCCUUACG